CGUCGUGCGAGCUGAUCAGCCAUGCCGCGUGUGUGAAGAAGGUCUUCGGAUUGUAAAGCACUUUAAGUUGGGAGGAAGGGCAUUAACCUAAUACGUUAGUGUUUUGACGUUACCGACAGAAUAAGCACCGGCUAACUUCGUGCCAGCAGCCGCGGUAAUAA
Molecule: ribosomal RNA, 161 nt
Filed under: uncultured Pseudomonas sp.
Lineage: Bacteria; Pseudomonadati; Pseudomonadota; Gammaproteobacteria; Pseudomonadales; Pseudomonadaceae
Description: partial 16S ribosomal RNA
Rfam family: Bacterial small subunit ribosomal RNA
Source: RNAcentral